AUUGAACGCUGGCGGCAGGCCUAACACAUGCAAGUCGAACGGUAACAGGAAGCAGCUUGCUGCUUCGCUGACGAGUGGCGGUCGGGUGAGUAAUGUCUGGGAAGCUGCCUGAUGGAGGGGGAUAACUACUGGAAACGGUAGCUAAUACCGCAUAAUGUCGCAAGACCAAAGAGGGGGACCUUCGGGCCUCUUGCCAUCGGAUGUGCCCAGAUGGGAUUAGCUUGUUGGUGGGGUAACGGCUCACCAAGGCGACGAUCCCUAGCUGGUCUGAGAGGAUGACCAGCCACACUGGAACUGAGACACGGUCCAGACUCCUACGGGAGGCAGCAGUGGGGAAUACUGCACAAUGGGCGCAAGCCUGAUGCAGCCAUGCCGCGUGUAUGAAGAAGGCCUUCGGGUUGUAAAGUACUUUCAGCGGGGAGGAAGGGAGUAAAGUUAAUACCUUUGCUCAUUGACGUUACCCGCAGAAGAAGCACCGGCUAACUCCGUG
RNAcentral lists this ribosomal RNA (490 nucleotides) under uncultured bacterium. RNAcentral's name for it is "partial 16S ribosomal RNA". It matches the Rfam family "Bacterial small subunit ribosomal RNA", at positions 30 to 507 of the family's 1533-position model. The record is from RNAcentral.